RNAcentral lists this ribosomal RNA (232 nucleotides) under uncultured bacterium. Its description in RNAcentral is "partial 16S ribosomal RNA". It matches the Rfam family "Bacterial small subunit ribosomal RNA", at positions 99 to 334 of the family's 1533-position model. The record is from RNAcentral.
CGGACGGGGGAGUAAUGUCUGGGAAACUGCCUGAUGGAGGGGGAUAACUACUGGAAACGGUAGCUAAUACCGCAUAACGUCGCAAGACCAAAGAGGGGGACCUUAGGGCCUCUUGCCAUCGGAUGUGCCCAGAUGGGAUUAGCUAGUAGGUGGGGUAACGGCUCACCUAGGCGACGAUCCCUAGCUGGUCUGAGAGGAUGACCAGCCACACUGGAACUGAGACACGGUCCAG